This 329-nucleotide ribosomal RNA is filed under the name uncultured eukaryote. RNAcentral's name for it is "partial 18S ribosomal RNA". It matches the Rfam family "Eukaryotic small subunit ribosomal RNA", at positions 1470 to 1796 of the family's 1831-position model. The record is from RNAcentral.
CCCUUAGAUGUUCUGGGCUGCACGCGCGCUACACUGAUGCGCUCAACGAGUUUUAACCUUGCCUGGAAAGGUUGGGUAAUCUUUUUAAAACGCAUCGUGAUGGGGAUAGAUUAUUGCAAUUAUUAAUCUUCAACGAGGAAUUCCUAGUAAGCGCGAGUCAUCAGCUCGUGCUGAUUACGUCCCUGCCCUUUGUACACACCGCCCGUCGCUCCUACCGAUUGAAUGAUCCGAUGAAUAUCAUGGACUGAGAGUGUUAGAGUUUUCGGACUUCUACACUUCUCGGGAAGUGAAGUGAAUCUUAUCAUUUAGAGGAAGGAGAAGUCGUAACA